RNAcentral lists this ribosomal RNA (253 nucleotides) under uncultured bacterium. RNAcentral describes it as "partial 16S ribosomal RNA". It matches the Rfam family "Bacterial small subunit ribosomal RNA", at positions 524 to 776 of the family's 1533-position model. The record is from RNAcentral.
GACGUAGGAGGCGAGCGUUGUCCGGAUUCAUUGGGCGUAAAGAGCACGCAGGCGGUUUGGCAAGUCGGACGUGAAAAUCCGGGGCUCAACCCCGGACCUGCAUCCGAAACUGCCCGACUAGAGGUAGGUAGGGGAGAUCGGAAUUCCUGGUGUAGCGGUGAAAUGCGCAGAUAUCAGGAAGAACACCAAUGGCGAAGGCAGCUCUCUGGGACGGUACUGACGCUGAGACGCGAAAGCGUGGGGAGCGAACAGG